UCACCGUUAGGCGAUGACGACAGAGGAAGCCGGUGCGAAUCCGGCGCGGUCCCGCCACUGUCAUCGGGGAGCGACCCUCACCAGCCACGGCCGUCAGGUCGGAAGGCGAGGCUAGCAGCGAUCCGAGAGCCAGGAGACUC
This 140-nucleotide non-coding RNA is filed under the name Mycobacterium sp. The record is from RNAcentral. Lineage: Bacteria; Bacillati; Actinomycetota; Actinomycetes; Mycobacteriales; Mycobacteriaceae.